RNAcentral lists this ribosomal RNA (497 nucleotides) under uncultured bacterium. Its description in RNAcentral is "partial 16S ribosomal RNA". It matches the Rfam family "Bacterial small subunit ribosomal RNA", at positions 28 to 507 of the family's 1533-position model. The record is from RNAcentral.
GAUGAACGCUGGCGGCGUGCCUAAUACAUGCAAGUCGAACGGACAGACCUGUUGCUUGCUGUUUUCACGUUAGCAACGGACGGGUGAGUCAUACGUGAGUUACCUAUCUCUUAGACUUGGCUAAAUUAGGCUAACCCGAACACCUGACGGGUACUCUUUCGACACGCAUGGUUCGGUAAUGAAAGAUGGCUCUGCCAUCACCUCUCGACGGAUCUGCGCGGUAUUAGCUAGUUGGUUAGGUAACGGCUUACCAAGGAAACGAUACGUAGCCGACCUGAGCGCGUGAUCGGCCACACUGGAACUGAGACACGGUCCAGACUCCGACGUGAGGCAGCAGUAGGGAAUCGUCGGCGAUGGGCGAAAGCCUGACGGAGCGACGCCGCGUGAGUGAUGAAGGGCUGCGGGUCGUAAAACGCUGUUAGUAGUGAAGACCGAACUUGUAAGUAACUGUGCACGUCUUGACGGUACCUAAUCAGAAAGCCACGGCUAACUACGUG